Molecule: long non-coding RNA, 152 nt
Organism: Thalassophryne amazonica
Lineage: Eukaryota; Metazoa; Chordata; Actinopteri; Batrachoidiformes; Batrachoididae
Exons: 3
Source: RefSeq, a predicted model, not a curated record
AGUGCCGGAAAAACAUGGACACCGUGCAGCAAAUCAGACUCUAAAUGCUUUUGAAAUCCUGUCAGGUUCGUAAUUUAUUCUCCCCAUCUCGUCUGGAAAGUUCACUGGAAAAAUCAACCAGCGUUUGAGAGGAUUUCAAACCAGGUCAGCCU